RNAcentral lists this long non-coding RNA (756 nucleotides) under Carica papaya (papaya). RNAcentral describes it as "long non-coding RNA (CPAP_LNC004510)". The record is from RNAcentral. Lineage: Eukaryota; Viridiplantae; Streptophyta; Magnoliopsida; Brassicales; Caricaceae.
CUGUACGUGUUCCAAAAAAUCCCAAAUUAGGCCCAGGGCCCCUUUCGGCCAAUAUCGCAACUCCGGCACGGCGGCUCCGCUGUGCUCCGGCGACGGCGCCGCCGCAAGCGGCGGCGGUUCACCUCAGGUUGGCCGUUUUCGACCGAAUUCGGCCACACUCGCAUUGGUUCCUGCGAUAAAACAACCCUACGGCCCUCGGGGGGCUGAAAAUUUACGGAAAACCGAAGCUUACCAGCGACGGUGCUCUCGGGUGCGGCGGCUCUCCGGUGAAGUUCGUGUUUUGGUGAUUCGGCUCUGAUCAACCUGUAGAGAAAAGAAUGGUGAUCAAGGUGGUAUAAAAAUUGCAUUAAACGGAGGCCGGGAAGGGCCUCAUCGGAGGCAAAAACUAAGGAGGGGCGCGGCGGCGCCGCUGGCUUUCGGCCGUGUUUUUCGGCCGUUUGGCCGGGAUUUUGGCUCCGAUUUGGCCACUGGGGAAAUCAGCGUGGAAAAACGAGUCGGGGGUAUGAAAUUUACCUCAAUCGGCGGUCAGAAAUCUCCCCGGUGCGGCGGCGGGUGGCGGCGGCCGGCUCUGGUUCGUCUUCUCCGGCGAGGGCAGGCGGCUAGGGUUUUGUGGUCUGGUGUGGGGGUUCUAUUUAUACCCUUUUGCCUUUUGAUCUUAGCCGUCCAUUUUGAUUUUAUCUGGGCUGUCCGUUUUUGAUUAAAUCUGGGUCGUCUGUGCGAUUAAAUCUGGGCCGUCCGUGCGCGCGAUUGAUCUGG